Molecule: ribosomal RNA, 569 nt
Filed under: Exocoetus environmental sample
Lineage: Eukaryota; Metazoa; Chordata; Actinopteri; Beloniformes; Exocoetidae
Description: partial 16S ribosomal RNA
Rfam family: Bacterial large subunit ribosomal RNA
Source: RNAcentral
CCGCCUGCCCUGUGACAAAAAGUUUAACGGCCGCGGUAUCUUGACCGUGCGAAGGUAGCGCAAUCACUUGUUUCUUAAAUGGAGACCUGUAUGAAUGGCAUGACGAGGGCCAACCUGUCUCCUUCUCCCAGUCAAUGAAAUUGAUCUCCCCGUGCAGAAGCGGGGAUAAGUACAUAAGACGAGAAGACCCUUUGGAGCUUUAGACUACAAGCAGACCAUGCUUAUUAGACCUAGUUAAAGGAACUAAGCCAAUUGGGUACCUGCCCUAAUGUCUUCGGUUGGGGCGACCACGGGGAAACAAAGAACCCCCAUGAGGAGCAGGAGAACUUUUCUCCCAGAACUAAGACCGACAGGUCUAAGUACCAGAAAUUCUGACCAAAAGAUCCGGCCAAGCCGAUCAACGGACCAAGUUACCCUAGGGAUAACAGCGCAAUCCCCUUUUAGAGCCCAUAUCGACAAGGGGGUUUACGACCUCGAUGUUGGAUCAGGACAUCCUAAUGGUGCAGCCGCUAUUAAGGGUUCGUUUGUUCAACGAUUAAAGUCCUACGUGAUCUGAGUUCAGACCGGGA